GGUGACGAUGACGCACUGGUGUCACAAGAUGUCGCACUUUACAAACCUUUUAAAUCAGAGCGCGACCGCUCAAGAAAAGUCGAGGAGCAAGUGCUUCAACAUGUUGAAAGGGAUACAAUAUCAAAACCACCCGACUACCCUCGUGAGCUCGGCCCUGUAUUGAACAAAGACCCUCUUUCUGCCUGACACUGGAGACGUUGAGACGAGAGGUCUGUGUCCUGGGACAGAGCGAUGCCAGCCAGCCAGAGAUGAUCCACGCACCCUGGCAUAUAGGCAGCAGAUAACCUGGCCACUGCACUGGACGACGAGCCACAGGGUCAAGGAGCUUUACCCAUGGGAGAUGGCCUGAGGCUCCUCUGGGUGCAGACAGCUUUUAUAGCUCAGCCACAUUCGUUCUGUGUCUGUCUGCCUGUCUGCCUGAUUUGGGCCUUGAAGACUUGACAGUUCACUCAUGUGCGCUCCCAAAUCCCAGGCGUCCUGCCGUCUGCCACACACUCACACCAAUUCCCUCCCCACUCACACUCUUUCAGGUGGAAGUUCUCCUGAUCCGGAGCCUGAUUACCACGUGCACGGUCUUAAAUUUGUCCCUUAGUGGUCAAACACACUCUAUCAGGAAAAUAUACUGUCGCUAUAUGUUAUAUUCUAUUUGUAAACUUUCAAAUGCUCAUAUUGCCUUCGAAAAUAUCACACUACAUUCCCAAAAGAGCACAGCUGUUAUUGCUAAAACUGUUCCGACCACUCCUUUUAGAUAUGUAAAUCUAUAGAGAGAGAGGUUAGAGAGUUUAAUUAAGCAGCAUUGUGUUCAUUGAUUCAUCCAUACAGUGGCCAUUUGACAAGGUUAGCAAACUGACUGUUUUAGCAUUUCACAUUAUACAUUUUGUCUCCACACUACACACCUGAGCAAGGUGCCGUGUUUCCGUAUCACACUGUAGUCAUGCAGUGGCAGGUGUCGAGUGAAUUGGUCCAUUGAAAGUAAAAACCCUCCUGGUUCCUCUGUGUCAUUUGAUAAGUGCCUCAGAGUUUCAACAGAAAUAAUCUAUUCAAAUCAGAUUUUGCCUAUGAUAGGUUGUACAUGUAAGGUUUGAGUAGACUUGGUGCUUCGAGAUGAUUGUUUGUCAGCAGCUCUUUGACACAGAUCUCACAGUUGUCUUUACCCAGUUUUUUAGCCAUAGUGAUUACAGGUAUAGUAUAUUCACUUGUAAUGGAAAAAGCUGGUCAUAUAGAGAAACACAUAUGCUUUUUCUUUGUCAAUAUGCACCUGCUUGAGUGGCUAUUGAACAUGUUUUUUUAAUUUUAACAAAAGGGUAGCAACAUGCCCAAAGUUAAAAACACAGGAUUGGAAUCAGUUAUUACCCACAAAUUAUUUUUUAUUUUUCAAACUCAGGAAUGGACAAAAGACGACAAAUUGAUAUGAGUUUACUACAGCUGUUAAAGAUGUGUAGGUAUAGUUGUAUGUUUUAAGAGACGUGUCAAUCACGCUGGGGAUAGAAGUGAUAGAAUCUUCCAGUUCUGUGUUUUGAAUUAGGUCGACUGGGUUGUACUGGGAUCAUAUAUUGCGCCUUAAGUACCUGUUAUUAAUUCCUAGUGCACUGCAGCAUUACAUGUAAAUCCUGUACUUGAGUUGAGAGGCACAGCUAGGGGAGAUGAUAACCUUGCAGCUGAUGAGGAUGAAUAGAACAAAUAAUUAGAUGUACAAAAUAAUGGAAGGGAGUGCAGAGAGGGUACUUCAUCUCAAGACAAGCGUGCACGAAACUGAGCUCGGCCACUAUGAUCCCAACCCACCUCCCAAGGCCAUUGUGAAGGAAGAGUUGAGGCUCAGGUGUCAUUGUAUUUUCCUGUAGCUCACCAUGCAGAACUCUUCUCAUCUCAAGUGACCUACAGGUAUUUUCCUAUAGAAAGCAACACCACCAUGCAGGGAUGCUUUUCUGAUUGUCGGUAUGUUACAUAAAUUAGUUCACAGCUGUUUUUGUUGUUGUUUUCUAAUGUAGGGCAAUAUAUUUCCCCCCCCAAAAUACUGCUAGACAAAGAGACAAAGGCAGUAAGUUAGAACCAGACUUUAACCUACCCUGGAGGAUAUUGGACUCGCUAUGUAGGCCAUCUCCUGUGCUGAGAUUACAUCUCAGGUAGCAGAAAGAAGUGUCCAUAAAGAAUUGAGUCACCUUCUCACACUGUUACAACAGCUGGUUUAUAUGCCAGUAAAACAAAAUAUGUAGUUGUUUCUUUUGUUUUUGCCUGCUGUACCUGUAGCAUUUCCACUGUUCAAACACCUGGUUCUUAUUGAUUGAUCAUUCCCACAUGUGAGUCCUCUCACUGGGCUGUUUUGAUCUCCACAUGUGUAGAUUUUUAAUUACUUGUACUCAUUCACAAAGGCUGUCGCAUUAAAGCUGAACUCUGUUAUGUCCGAUUUCGAGUGACACCUGUAGCUCAAAGCAAGCUUAGAUACAUUACUUUUAGUACAGUGGUGCUAGGUGUUAUGCAUUAAGUCAUAAAAGAUGAUACUGUAUGCACAGUAUUUUUGUAACUGUGUGAUAUUUUGUGUUUUGACUCAGUCCUGCUACAUGCUAUACAUUCCUUCUGGAUAAUUAA
Long non-coding RNA from Scophthalmus maximus (turbot), 2586 nucleotides. RefSeq lists it as uncharacterized. The record is from RefSeq and is a predicted model, not a curated record. Lineage: Eukaryota; Metazoa; Chordata; Actinopteri; Pleuronectiformes; Scophthalmidae. The transcript has 3 exons.